AGCGAACGCUGGCGGCAGGCUUAACACAUGCAAGUCGAGCGGGCACUUUCGGGUGUCAGCGGCGGACGGGUGAGUAACGCGUGGGAACGUGCCCUCUGGUUCGGAAUAACUCAGGGAAACUUGAGCUAAUACCGGAUACGCCCUUUUGGGGAAAGGCUUGCUGCCGGAGGGUCGGCUCGCGUCUGAUUAUCUAGUUGGUGAGGUAACGGCUCACCAAGGCGACGAUCAGUAGCUGGUCUGAGAGGAUGAUCAGCCACACUGGGACUGAGACACGGCCCAGACUCCUACGGGAGGGAGCAGUGGGGAAUAUUGGACAAGGGGGGCAAGCCUGAUCCAGCCAUGCCGCGUGAGUGAUGAAGGCCUUAGGGUUGUAAAGCUCUUUUAUCCGGGACGAUAAUGACGGUACCGGAGGAAUAAGCCCCGGCUAACUUCGUG
This 435-nucleotide ribosomal RNA is filed under the name uncultured bacterium. RNAcentral's name for it is "partial 16S ribosomal RNA". It matches the Rfam family "Bacterial small subunit ribosomal RNA", at positions 29 to 507 of the family's 1533-position model. The record is from RNAcentral.